This 109-nucleotide small nuclear RNA is filed under the name Myotis brandtii (Brandt's bat). Lineage: Eukaryota; Metazoa; Chordata; Mammalia; Chiroptera; Vespertilionidae. The record is from RNAcentral.
GUGCUCGCUCUGCUUCGGCAGCACAUAUACUAAAACUGGAAUGAUACAGAGAUCAGCAUGGCCCCUGCACAAGGAUGAUUUUUUUUAUCCUCAGCCAAACAUAUGUUUA